UCACUUUUAUUAUCAUAAAAUACUAAUUUAGCUUAAUUGCCCUGAUACCAACCACCAGCCUAAAUCACUAAGAACAAAAUGACAAAACUCCAGAUUCUGUUCCUGUAAAAAAUAAAAACAGAAAUCUAUACACACACAAUUUCCUUUUUAUUUGAAUUAGGUAUUUUUUAGCAAGAAUCCUAUCCUAUUUGAAAACAAGAGAAUUUGUAUAAAAGUAACACUUAAAGACUUAUAACUGAAUAAAAUAGAAAUAAAAAAGAAAUAUAAAUAAGUAGACUGGGAAUAGGAUUUCCUUCCACUUUCCAAAGUCGCCCUUUCCCAAGGCAUUGCAACAGAGGCACCUUGGGGGAAAUAUUAUCCAUUCCAAGUUCAAGAGAAGAAUAUUUUUAUUUUUAUUUUUUAUUUUUAUGACCAUAGGUAUUCAAGCCAGCUCACACGCACCUCGAUUAAUUUCACGAAACUCUGAAAUUUACAAUCGGGUACUUACCUCAAUGGCCCUAAGGAGACUCGAACUGGUGAUCAUUGGGAAACAAACUCAAGAUCUGACCACUGAGCUAUCCCUCAGGGUUAAGUUCAAGAGAUGAUAUAUCUAUACAAAUGAAUUUAUUCAACUAGAAAAUAUCUCCUCCGUAACUUAUAUAUCCUCACUAGCUACAGAAAAAUAAAACAAAAUAAAAAAUUGUCCUAUAUUACUGUAUAAAAGUUAAGAAUUAGAUCAGCCUACCACUAAUGCACCAAAUUUUGGUUCAGAACAUUCCAGUUCUCAUUCUCUCUCAUAUUUCGGGUAAAAACCACUGAAAAGAUACAGAUCGAAAAACAGGGUGCAUUCUCAUAAAUAUUCACUGCAUCCAUCAUGACCAAAGAGCUAUAUGUCACACUAAAACCUCUAAAGAUUUUAUUGUGUGAAUUGGAACAACUAGAAAGAAAUUUUUUUCUCGAAAUUUUUGGCACUUCAAGGGGCCAGUCUCCCAAAUCAAAUGAAAAGUUUGAAAAACAAGACAGUUUCAGUGAUCAGUUGAUUGUUGUACAAUCUGAACCCCUAAAACCCUGGAGUCAAACUUAGACCCAUGACUC
This 1074-nucleotide long non-coding RNA is filed under the name Olea europaea (common olive). Its description in RNAcentral is "long non-coding RNA (OEUR_LNC013527)". The record is from RNAcentral. Lineage: Eukaryota; Viridiplantae; Streptophyta; Magnoliopsida; Lamiales; Oleaceae.